GCGGAUGUAGCCAAGUGGAUUAAGGCAGUGGAUUUGUGAA
RNAcentral lists this transfer RNA (40 nucleotides) under Beilschmiedia fordii. Its description in RNAcentral is "partial tRNA-His". RNAcentral also lists the same sequence under 3 other names. Lineage: Eukaryota; Viridiplantae; Streptophyta; Magnoliopsida; Laurales; Lauraceae. The record is from RNAcentral.